RNAcentral lists this transfer RNA (73 nucleotides) under Saprospiraceae bacterium. RNAcentral describes it as "tRNA-Gly". It matches the Rfam family "tRNA". From Rfam's summary of the family: Transfer RNA (tRNA) molecules are approximately 80 nucleotides in length. Their secondary structure includes four short double-helical elements and three loops (D, anti-codon, and T loops). RNAcentral also lists the same sequence under 1 other name. The record is from RNAcentral. Lineage: Bacteria; Pseudomonadati; Bacteroidota; Saprospiria; Saprospirales; Saprospiraceae.
GCGGCAGUAGCUCAGUUGGUAGAGCAUCAGCUUCCCAAGCUGAGGGCCGUGGGUUCGAGUCCCAUUUGCCGCU